CAAAACGUUUCUUCCAUUUCUUUAAAAUGAUUGCAGAAAAUAAGCCAAUGAAUGUUUAUGAUUCUUACAUGUUGUUCAUGAACAACUUUUAUGAAUUUUGAAGCCUAAAUACAAACUCCAGAAGUAAAAAGCUAAACAAACACACCACAUUUGCAUGAUUAAAUACUUCUUUCAGUCUUUAUUGAAAAACAUCUUCUCUGAAAGUUUGUUAGAACAGUGAAUAAACACACUGAGGCUGUGAAAACGACUAGUGCAUGAGUUUAUCAGUUCGAUGUGCUGAUUUUUAAUGUCCUCAACAGCCUUUGAUGUCCCAUUUAGCCAUAUGAUAGCAACUGGCUAUUUUAAAUGUUGUAGAAUAAAACGAUCUGUGUUUGCCACAGACAUUUUUUCAUGCAUUUAACCAUAAACACAUAGAAAAAACCAUGAUGGACCCGGAAGUGCUAAAUAGGUUGUUUCUAGGUUUUAUACAGCCUAUGGUUUUAGCCUACAUCAUCCUUGCAGCAUUGCUAAAGCACUGGUGAUUUAUUUAUGAACCCUAAUGUGUGUUGCAUGUGGCCUAAAGUAACCCCUGGUGGCCAUAGAGUGAACUGCAGUGUAUUGCUGGCAUUGGGUGGAAGGGCUUUACUGACAACAAAAACUAGUGUGAAUCUGUCAGAAAAUACAUAAACAAAUCUUCUCCGCUAGUUUGAGAAAAUGUAAACAUUUUGAUUCAUAGAAUAUUAACAGAUUAUAGGAUCCAAAGUGACUUUUCUGUUUGUACCAGUAGGCUUAUGUAAAUGUGUCUGUGUCUGUCUCAGAUGUCCAGAUGUGAGCUGACGGUGUGAACUCUUGCGAUCCGACCAGGAUACAGUCCUAAAACAUCUCUGCCCUGCCGAUGAGCACAUGAGAAACAGUGCUGAUCAAACAAACAUGAUGCACGCAGUAAAACAUACUAACAUGCUUAAAAUCAAUAUGUAUAUUAAAGCAAUUAACCAAGUUCAAACUGGCCAAAUUGUGUCUGAAACACAGUGAUAAUGUUUUAAGUUAACCUAGCUAUAUAUCAUAGCAUGGUUGGAAGAGAACUUGCAUAAAUUACAUACUUUCUUAACUAUUCAACAUCCACAUCCUGAAUGUUUAUUUUGAGAUGUUAGGAGUCACAGACUCAAAAACCUUUAGGCUUACAUGUGUGUUGGAUGUUUUUUUGUGUCUUGACUUUCCUUAAACUUGUGUAACCUCAGAGCAACUCCUGAAUAUAUUCAUUUGCUAUUAAUGAGCAUGAAAGACUUGACCCGGGUUUGAAUUAUGUUGUUAUGCCAGGGUUUCAGUGCAGGAUGGCGGGAUCAGUGGUGUUAUAUAUAACAAGUGGCCUACGCAGUGAAUGCAAUGGUAUGCAUUUCAAACAAGCCUAAGCUGGUUUGCCUGUCAAUCAGUCUGAUUUAGAACCAGGAUGAUUGACAAGCAAACCAGUUUAGGCCAGCUUGAAACGUUUUUUUAUUUUAUAACAAGAUAACAUUGAAGUAAAAUGGUGAUUAACACUGUUAUGUAGCUCCAGAAACAGAUUUAUGAAUAGGUCUGCAUGAAUUGUUGUUUCUGUGAUUCUCGUCAUUCUAGUUUCUGCUGCGGCUCCUUGUGUCUUGCUGUUUUUAUCGAAUCUCGGCUGAUAAUGUUUUACAGGUCACAACCAAAUCACACGUUUAAAUGCAAAUUCCUCAUCUGAAAACAAAUUGAAACCUGUUUUGAAAGACAAACACAAGUUAUCUUACCUGCUUGUUUUCAGUCAGCGUGUUGAUGCAUUUGUACGGCUGAACAUCAGCGUCCUCGUGAGAGCUGUGGACAGCAGUGCUUCUGUUACAGAAAUACUGACUGCAGGAUCAUUCUACACUCAUCACAUCAAUCAGUACCGUUUAUAUUCUGGGUUUAGUCUAACAGUCCUCUCAAAAAAUCCCCUUUUUAAUCUAGAAGCUGCCCCUGGUCUGAAAGCUAUUAAAUGCAACGGCUAAAAACAUAUUAAGAGCAACUAAGUUUUAUACACUUAACGUCUACAAAAUGAAUACUGUAAUAGUAAGUUCGUAUAUACUUGUCUUUUAUAUAUAAUUUGUAUUGCUAAUGCAAUUGCUAAUACCUGUAAAUAAAACAGUGUGUGUUUUUUAAUAACCUUUAUCAGUAUAUUGCAAAAUCCAUAUUUGGAGUCUUAUGGAUCUUAUAUUUUGGUAGACCAGAUAAACAUGGACUAGAUCUGGAUCUGAAU
This is a long non-coding RNA of Cyprinus carpio carpio, 2227 nucleotides long. Lineage: Eukaryota; Metazoa; Chordata; Actinopteri; Cypriniformes; Cyprinidae. The record is from Ensembl.